RNAcentral lists this non-coding RNA (26 nucleotides) under Homo sapiens (human). The record is from RNAcentral. Lineage: Eukaryota; Metazoa; Chordata; Mammalia; Primates; Hominidae.
UGGGAAAGCCAGCAAUCAGGCGUUCA